Molecule: long non-coding RNA, 1676 nt
Filed under: Amphibalanus amphitrite
Lineage: Eukaryota; Metazoa; Arthropoda; Thecostraca; Balanomorpha; Balanidae
Description: uncharacterized LOC122386174, transcript variant X1
Source: RNAcentral
UGUUUGAUUUAUGUUUUAUGUGUCCAAACGAUGAGAGCGUCGCAGUGAAACAAUACCUAAGCUGCCCAAGGUUUGGCCUUGGUUGAGUUUCAGUUUGGUUAGAAGGCAGAAGGCAUAGCGCCUCUGCCCUCUCCUUAGUUGCAAAAACGAGUGCGACGACUGCUAGUGCUGACUACUGAAAUCUGCUGAAAGGAAGACUGGAGGGCCUUUAGCAGCAGCAGCAGUGGAGCUUGGAAGGCUGCCUUGAGGCUGCCUGGCUGGCCUCUACAACAGAGACGAAGUUUAGAAGUAAUUUGUCAACAAUGUUGUCCAUGCUGCAAGAGGUGGCUGACGAGCACCAACCAGCGUGUGCAGCAGCCGUUCCGUUGUAAACGGUGCGCUGACCGCGGAGCCGGGGGUUGUCGACCGCCGGCUGGCACUCACCACCGUCCACCCCAAGCUGGCCAUCAUCGACUGGCUCGAGAACACCAGCACGCUGAACCAGUUCAUCAGCUCGACGUGCCCCGACUUCGAGCAGCAGUGCGCCGAGACGCGCGAGCUGUUCACUGGGAGCAGAUGAAGCGACAUGGGACUCAGAGCGGCGCCACUGACGUGCAGCUGCAGCUGAUCGGAAUCGACAGGACACGUGUUCGCGGCUCGGCCACCACUCAUCAGCCUGCUGCUCCUGCCGUUCCGUCUGACGGCGCCGAUGACCGGGCUGGCGGCGUCUCUCGACGCGUCCGGCCACACCCGGCUGCAGGCGCUGCGCUCGUCGCUUUGGGUUGUAAAUGCCGUCGAGCAGUGAGGGUUGCCUCGCCGAGUCGUGUGGGCGCUCCUCACUGUAGAGGUCGCUGUGAGCGCUGUGCUCCUCUUCGACCAGAGGAUAGGUGGCGGUAGCGGUCGGUACGCAGCCAGCAGCGUACUGACACGUCAUAGACCGAUUGAAGGUCUUCAGUGCGUUAUGAAUAUGGCGCGGGUAGCUCGAUUCCGGCGGCGGCGUGACACAGUGACCCCGUGACCUCUAGCCGUGUCGGUCCGUGUGCGCGGCCCAUUCGCCCACGACUUGGGUUGUCGAUGGCGGCUGCCGGCGCCCUUAAAAUCGUACGUGUUUUAGACAAAAAGGGAAGACUUUAGUGAUAGUGAUGUUAAAAGGUAUAAUUUAUUUUUCUAAUGAUUUUAUUGCGUGCUUUGGCUGAGUGUCUUGAUUUAAGUUUGUUUGCUUUCAAAUUUACGAUAAUAGAACAGCACAGGGUCAAAAGGCGGUUAAGACGUAGAACAGUUGCUGUUACAUUGGGCUUUGAACGCGAGCCGGCCGGCCGAGUGAUUACUGCGCGCGCGCGCGCCGUAUAGGAGAUACUGAUUCGGAGAUACUGAUUUCCAAGAUCGUCGAGCGCCAAGUUCUGCGAUGGCAAUAUCUCCUGAAUAUAGUGAACACUGAACACAGCGGCAGAUGACAACGCCUUGACAAUUGUUUUCGUCGUAAUACGUGCUACUCAAAGAAUGCCACGAAGGUGUGUCGUUGCUUUCUUUGCUAGUCCGCACAUCUGAGAUCGUUUGAGACAAGUGUUUGAAGUUUAACCGGAAUCGCUCUGAUAGCUGCGAUGCAAAUUCCAACAGCUGUUAUUCUACUAAUGAAAAGGUAAUUAUGCUAUUGCUGGCCAUGAAUUAUGAAUAAAUCACAAAUUUUGUGAAAGCAA